This is a long non-coding RNA of Mytilus trossulus (common blue mussel), 477 nucleotides long. RefSeq lists it as uncharacterized. The record is from RefSeq and is a predicted model, not a curated record. Lineage: Eukaryota; Metazoa; Mollusca; Bivalvia; Mytilida; Mytilidae. The transcript is spliced from 3 exons.
CAAAAAAACGUUCCUCAUAUUGUAUUCACAUUGGUACUGCAAUAACUUAGGAAAAAAUGGUGAAAUUAUUGUUUGUCCUGAUGUUCCUUGUACUUACCUACCAGGCUGAAGGAUGGGUUUUCAGAAGAAUUAGAAUUAGAAUAAAUCCCACUAAAAACUGUUUUUGUAAAGCUGUCGAAGCAGAUACACAUAGAAUACUUCACGAUUUUGGAUCAAUCCAAAGGUGUACCCGCUUGAUUAGUUGUCGUUGUGGACACACAGCAAUGGUAACAUGUGGUGACCAGUGUGAUAGAAGAGUUACCAAUUGGUUAAAAACAAAUGGAGGGAAAUGUCAAUAUGCUAGGUCAUUCUAUACAGCAAGCACAUGUGGAUCGCCUACAUAUGGCCAUCAUAGAAAGACUUGUUAAGCCUAUACUACAGCAUUCAACACUGUGAAUUUGGAUUGUUUGAUAAAUAAACAAUACAAAUGAAAACUUU